GGAGGUUUAGCUCAGUGGUAGAGUGCGUGCUUAGCAUGCACGAAGUCCUGGGUUCCAUCCUCAGUACCUCUG
RNAcentral lists this transfer RNA (72 nucleotides) under Camelus bactrianus (Bactrian camel). It matches the Rfam family "tRNA". From Rfam's summary of the family: Transfer RNA (tRNA) molecules are approximately 80 nucleotides in length. RNAcentral also lists the same sequence under 2 other names. The record is from Rfam by way of RNAcentral. Lineage: Eukaryota; Metazoa; Chordata; Mammalia; Artiodactyla; Camelidae.